ACGAACGCUGGCGGCAGGCUUAACACAUGCAAGUCGAACGGAUGUAGCAAUACAUCAGUGGCAGACGGGUGAGUAACACGUGGGAACCUUCCUCGUUGUACGGGACAACUCAGGGAAACUUGAGCUAAUACCGUAUACGUCCGAGAGGAGAAAGAUUUAUCGCAAUGAGACGGGCCCGCGUCGGAUUAGCUAGUUGGUGGGGUAACGGCCUACCAAGGCGACGAUCCGUAGCUGAUCUGAGAGGAUGAUCAGCCACACUGGGACUGAGACACGGCCCAGACUCCUACGGGAGGCAGCAGUGGGGAAUCUUGGACAAUGGGCGCAAGCCUGAUCCAGCCAUGCCGCGUGAGUGAAGAAGGCCUUAGGGUUGUAAAGCUCUUUUGCCAGGGACGAUAAUGACGGUACCUGGAGAAUAAGCCCCGGCAAACUUCGUGCCAGCCGCCGCGGUAAU
This 451-nucleotide ribosomal RNA is filed under the name uncultured bacterium. Its description in RNAcentral is "bacterial SSU rRNA". It matches the Rfam family "Bacterial small subunit ribosomal RNA", at positions 29 to 524 of the family's 1533-position model. The record is from RNAcentral.